GAGUUUGAUCGUGGCUCAGGAUGAACGCUGGCGGCGUGCCUAACACAUGCAAGUCGAACGGAUCCAUAUUGAAACCUAGUGAUGUAUGGAUUAGUGGCGGACGGGUGAGUAACGCGUGGAUAACCUGCCGUAUACAGGGGGAUAACACUUAGAAAUAGGUGCUAAUACCGCAUAAGCGCACGGUUCCGCAUGGAACAGUGUGAAAAACUUCGGUGGUAUACGAUGGAUCCGCGUCUGAUUAGCCAGUUGGCGGGGUAACGGCCCACCAAAGCGACGAUCAGUAGCCGGCCUGAGAGGGUGAACGGCCACAUUGGGACUGAGACACGGCCCAAACUCCUACGGGAGGCAGCAGUGGGGAAUAUUGGACAAUGGGGGGAACCCGUGAUCCAGCGACGCCGCGUGAGUGAAGAAGUAUUUCGGUAUGUAAAGCUCUAUCAGCAGGGAAGAAAGAAAUGACGGUACCUGAAUAAGAAGCCCGGCUAACUACGUGCCAGCAGCCGCGGU
RNAcentral lists this ribosomal RNA (504 nucleotides) under uncultured microorganism. RNAcentral's name for it is "bacterial SSU rRNA". It matches the Rfam family "Bacterial small subunit ribosomal RNA", at positions 9 to 521 of the family's 1533-position model. The record is from RNAcentral.